CUGUAAACCACCCGCGCAGCCUUCAGGAUCCGAUCGGAUAAAAACUGAUGGAGAGAAACCGAAAAUAGGAAUCUGUGUUGAGGCCUCGCCCAUUCUGGAGAAAUGUUGUGACAUCUAGGCAAAACUGCUCCACAAGAAGAAAAAAGCCCUGGCCACUGUACGAAGUCCUUCAUACC
This is a long non-coding RNA of Carassius auratus (goldfish), 176 nucleotides long. RefSeq lists it as uncharacterized. The record is from RefSeq and is a predicted model, not a curated record. Lineage: Eukaryota; Metazoa; Chordata; Actinopteri; Cypriniformes; Cyprinidae. The transcript has 3 exons.